RNAcentral lists this ribosomal RNA (318 nucleotides) under Sarcomonadea sp. RNAcentral describes it as "SSU rRNA". The stretch from base 104 to 318 matches the Rfam family "Eukaryotic small subunit ribosomal RNA", at positions 740 to 956 of the family's 1831-position model. Lineage: Eukaryota; Cercozoa. The record is from RNAcentral.
CUGGUUCGGCGUACUUGGCCCGUCCCGGUCUUCGGGAUGUGUGCCGGUGUGCGCCAUCCAUCCUUCGAGAAAACUUUGCUACCCUUCACGGGGCCGGCAAGGCUAUCUCGAUCUUUUACUUUGAAAAAAUUAGAGUGUUUAAAGCAGGCUUGCGCUAUGAAUACAUUAGCAUGGAAUAAUAAUUUAGGACUUUUGGCCUAUUUUGUUGGUUUCUAGGACAAGAGUAAUGAUUGAUAGGGACAGUUGGGGGUGCUAGUAUUCAGCGGCCAGAGGUGAAAUUCUUGGAUUCGCUGAAGACUAGCUUAUGCGAAAGCAUUC